Molecule: ribosomal RNA, 767 nt
Filed under: uncultured Bacteroidota bacterium
Lineage: Bacteria; Pseudomonadati; Bacteroidota
Description: bacterial SSU rRNA
Rfam family: Bacterial small subunit ribosomal RNA
Source: RNAcentral
GUGAGGAUAUUGGUCAAUGGGCGUUAGCCUGACCAGCCUGCCGCGUGCAGGAAGACGGCCCUACGGGUUGUAAACUGCUUUUCUGCGGGAAGAAUUCUGUGUAUUCGUUACAGGGUUGACGGUACCGCAGGAAUAAGCAUCGGCUAACUCCGUGCCAGCAGCCGCGGUAAUACGGAGGAUGCAAGCGUUAUCCGGAUUCAUUGGGUUUAAAGGGUGCGUAGGCGGUGGGAUAAGUCAGUGGUGAAAGCCCGGGGCUCAACUCCGGGAUUGCCAUUGAAACUGUUUCACUUGAGUGUAGUCGAGGACGGCGGAAUGAGUUAUGUAGCGGUGAAAUGCAUAGAUAUAACUCAGAACACCGAUUGCGAAGGCAGCUGUCCAGGCUACAACUGACGCUGAGGCACGAAAGCGUGGGGAGCGAACAGGAUUAGAUACCCUGGUAGUCCACGCUGUAAACGAUGAUCACUCGUUGUUGGUCACGUAGUGACCAGUGACUGAGGGAAACCAUUAAGUGAUCCACCUGGGGAGUACGUCGGCAACGAUGAAACUCAAAGGAAUUGACGGGGGCCCGCACAAGCGGAGGAACAUGUGGUUUAAUUCGAUGAUACGCGAGGAACCUUACCUGGGCUUAAAUGCAGGCUGCAUUGGGUGGAAACACCCAUUUCCUUCGGGACUGCUUGCAAGGUGCUGCAUGGUUGUCGUCAGCUCGUGCCGUGAGGUGUCGGGUUAAGUCCCAUAACGAGCGCAACCCUUAUCGUUAGUUGCCAGCA